UUACAACAAUCUUCUUCGCCCUAUAUGGUUUACUUCAGGCUGGACCAACCUGUAUGCGAUGUAUGGAUGUAGCUGAUAUUCAAGACUGUAUUACAAACGUCUUUGAUUGUGGUGACAAUGAGGAAUGCUAUCUGGAAAAAGGAACACAUGGAGAUCGUAGCAUCAAAUACAACGCAGGAUGUCGCUCAAAACAG
Long non-coding RNA from Saccostrea cuccullata (small rock oyster), 194 nucleotides. RefSeq lists it as uncharacterized. Lineage: Eukaryota; Metazoa; Mollusca; Bivalvia; Ostreida; Ostreidae. The record is from RefSeq and is a predicted model, not a curated record. The transcript has 3 exons.